Sciurus vulgaris (Eurasian red squirrel) is the source of this 106-nucleotide small nuclear RNA. The record is from Ensembl. Lineage: Eukaryota; Metazoa; Chordata; Mammalia; Rodentia; Sciuridae.
GCACACACUUCAGCAGCACAUGUACUAAAAUUGGAAUGAUACAGAGAAGAUAUGCAUGGCUCUUGCACAAGGAAGAUGUGCAAAUUGUGAAGUGUUCCAUGAAGAG